GUGCCAGCCGCCGCGGUAAUACGGAGGAUGCAAGCGUUAUCCGGAUUCAUUGGGUUUAAAGGGUGCGCAGGCGGGCUAAUAAGUCAGGGGUGAAAUACUACGGCUCAACCGUGGAACUGCCUUUGAUACUGUUAGUCUUGAGUAUAGUUGAAGUGGGCGGAAUGUAGCAUGUAGCGGUGAAAUGCAUAGAGAUGCUACAGAACACCGAUAGCGAAGGCAGCUCACUAAGUUAGUACUGACGCUCAUGCACGAAAGCGUGGGGAUCAAACAGGAUUAGAUACCCUGGUAGUCCACGCUGUAAACGAUGAUCACUCGUUGUUGGCGAUACACAGUCAGCGGCUAAGCGAAAGUGAUAAGUGAUCCACCUGGGGAGUACGAUCGCAAGGUUGAAACUCAAAGGAAUUGACGGGGGCCCGCACAAGCGGUGGAGCAUGUGGUUUAAUUCGAUGAUACGCGAGGAACCUUACCUGGGCUCAAAUGCAAGUUGACGUAUGGUGAAAGCCGUAUUUCUUCGGACAAUUUGCAAGGUGCUGCAUGGUUGUCGUCAGCUCGUGCCGUGAGGUGUCGGGUUAAGUCCCAUAACGAGCGCAACCCCUAUUCUUAGUUGCCAUCAGGUCAAGCUGGGGACUCUAGGAAAACUGCCUACGCAAGUAGAGAGGAAGGUGGGGAUGACGUCAAAUCAGCACGGCCCUUACGUCCAGGGCUACACACGUGCUACAAUGGCCAGUACAAAGGGCAGCUACCUGGUGACAGGAUGCUAAUCUCAAAAGCUGGUCUCAGUUCGGAUCGAAGUCUGCAACUCGACUUCGUGAAGCUGGAAUCGAUAGUAAUCGCGCAUCAGCCAUGGCGCGGUGAAUACGUUCCCGGGCCUUGUACACACCGCCCGUCAAGCCAUGGAAGCUGGGGGUACCUGAAGUCGGUGACCGUAAAAGGAGCUGCCUAGGGUAAACUUGGUAACUGGGGCUAAGUCGUAACAAGGUACC
This 983-nucleotide ribosomal RNA is filed under the name uncultured bacterium. RNAcentral describes it as "bacterial SSU rRNA". It matches the Rfam family "Bacterial small subunit ribosomal RNA", at positions 505 to 1500 of the family's 1533-position model. The record is from RNAcentral.